Molecule: ribosomal RNA, 1011 nt
Filed under: uncultured bacterium
Lineage: Bacteria
Description: bacterial SSU rRNA
Rfam family: Bacterial small subunit ribosomal RNA
Source: RNAcentral
UAGUGGCGAACGGGUGAGUAAUGUAUCGGAUCGUAUCCAAUAUUGGGGGAUAACUAAUCGAAAGGUUGGCUAAUACCGCAUACGCCCUACGGGGGAAAGCAGGGGAUCUUCGGACCUUGCGUUAAUGGAGCGGCCGAUAUCUGAUUAGCUAGUUGGUGAGGUAAAAGCUCACCAAGGCGACGAUCAGUAGCUGGUCUGAGAGGACGACCAGCCACACUGGAACUGAGACACGGUCCAGACUCCUACGGGAGGCAGCAGUGGGGAAUUUUGGACAAUGGGCGAAAGCCUGAUCCAGCCAUUCCGCGUGAGUGAAGAAGGCCUUCGGGUUGUAAAGCUCUUUCGCAAGGGAAGAAACGAUGCAGUCGAAUAAACUGUGUUAAUGACGGUACCUUGAUAAGAAGCACCGGCUAACUACGUGCCAGCAGCCGCGGUAAUACGUAGGGUGCGAGCGUUAAUCGGAAUUACUGGGCGUAAAGCGUGCGCAGGCGGUUUUUUAAGUCAGAUGUGAAAUCCCCGGGCUCAACCUGGGAACUGCAUUUGAAACUGGAAGACUAGAGUAUAGCAGAGGGGGGUAGAAUUCCACGUGUAGCAGUGAAAUGCGUAGAUAUGUGGAGGAAUACCAAUGGCGAAGGCAGCCCCCUGGGUUAAUACUGACGCUCAUGCACGAAAGCGUGGGGAGCAAACAGGAUUAGAUACCCUGGUAGUCCACGCCCUAAACGAUGUCAACUAAGUGUUGGGGGAGGAGACUUCCUUAGUACCGUAGCUAACGCGUGAAGUUGACCGCCUGGGGAGUACGGUCGCAAGAUUAAAACUCAAAGGAAUUGACGGGGAACCCGCACAAGCCGUGGGAUUAUGUGGAAUUAAUUCCGAUGCAACGGCGAAAAACCAUUACCUACCCCUUGACUUGUCAGAAAGGAUCGCAGAAGAUGUGGAUUGGGGUCGAAAAGAAGAUCCUGGACACCAGGUGGCUGCAUGGGCUGGCCGUCAGCUCCUAGUCCUGGAGAUGUUGGG